This 253-nucleotide ribosomal RNA is filed under the name uncultured bacterium. RNAcentral describes it as "partial 16S ribosomal RNA". It matches the Rfam family "Bacterial small subunit ribosomal RNA", at positions 524 to 776 of the family's 1533-position model. The record is from RNAcentral.
UACGUAGGGUGCGAGCGUUAUUCGGAAUUACUGGGCGUAAAGGGCGCGUAGGCGGUUUUCUAAGUCAGACGUGAAAUCCCCCGGCUUAACCUGGGAACUGCGUCUGAUACUGGGAGGCUUGAGUAUGGGAGAGGGAUGUAGAAUUCCAGGUGUAGCGGUGAAAUGCGUAGAUAUCUGGAGGAAUACCGGUGGCGAAGGCGGCAUCCUGGACCAUAACUGACGCUGAGGCGCGAAAGCUAGGGGAGCAAACGGG